CGUGUAGGCGGUCAAGUAAGUGGAAUGUGAAACGCCUCGGCUUACCCGAGGACCUGCAUCCCAAACUGCUUGGCUUGAGUAUGGGAGAGGAUGAGGGAAUUCCUGGUGUAGCGGUGAAAUGCGUAGAUAUCAGGAGGAACACCGGUGGCGAAAGCGCUCAUCUGGCCCAAUACUGACGCUGAGGCGCGAAAGCUAGGGAGCAAACG
This 206-nucleotide ribosomal RNA is filed under the name uncultured bacterium. Its description in RNAcentral is "partial 16S ribosomal RNA". It matches the Rfam family "Bacterial small subunit ribosomal RNA", at positions 568 to 774 of the family's 1533-position model. The record is from RNAcentral.